Molecule: long non-coding RNA, 350 nt
Filed under: Gossypium raimondii (Peruvian cotton)
Lineage: Eukaryota; Viridiplantae; Streptophyta; Magnoliopsida; Malvales; Malvaceae
Description: long non-coding RNA (GRAI_LNC001928)
Source: RNAcentral
AGAGAUCUAGAUUUAGAAAUACGAUUACGCGUAGGGAAGGAUCAACACCCUACCACACCUAUCCUAAGAUAGUACCAUCUUAGCUUAUGACAUUUUUAUUAGGGUUUUAUGCUUUCAAAUUAACCAAAUUAUUUUACGCCUAAUGACUCCCUUAUUACAAAUUAUCAAAAAUAAUAAUAAAAUCCUAAAAAUAUUAAAAUAUUAACAAUCAACCAAAAUUGUAAUAAACAAUAAAAAAAAUAACCGCGAACCAAUCAAUAAAAAAUAAUAGGAAAAAUGAUACAAAAUUAAAAUUAAAAUUAAAUAAAACAAUCAUACAACCAAAAUAAUUAAAAAUCCUCGUAGCAAAA